GUGCCAGCCGCCGCGGUAAUACGGAGGGGGCAAGCGUUGUUCGGAAUUACUGGGCGUAAAGGGCGCGUAGGCGGAACGUCAAGUUAGGGGUGAAAGGCCUGGGCUCAACCUAGGAACGGCCUCUAAAACUGACGAUCUAGAGUCCGGAAGAGGAUGGCGGAAUUCCCAGUGUAGAGGUGAAAUUCGUAGAUAUUGGGAAGAACACCGGUGGCGAAGGCGGCCAUCUGGUCCGGUACUGACGCUGAGGCGCGAAAGCGUGGGGAGCAAACAGGAUUAGAAACCCUAG
RNAcentral lists this ribosomal RNA (286 nucleotides) under uncultured Pelagibius sp. Its description in RNAcentral is "partial 16S ribosomal RNA". It matches the Rfam family "Bacterial small subunit ribosomal RNA", at positions 505 to 790 of the family's 1533-position model. The record is from RNAcentral. Lineage: Bacteria; Pseudomonadati; Pseudomonadota; Alphaproteobacteria; Rhodospirillales; Rhodovibrionaceae.